AACCAUAGAAACCUGCGGAGUACCUGCGGAAGGAUCAUUACCGAGUGCGGGUCCGCGUGGCCCAACCUCCCACCCGUGCCUAUUGUACCCUGUUGCUUCGGCGGGCCCGCCAGCCUUCGGGCUGGCCGCCGGGGGGCGUCUCGCCCCCGGGCCCGUGCCCGCCGGAGACCCCAACAUGAACCCUGUUCUGAAAGCUUGGUGUCUGAGUGUGAUUGUUUGCAAUCAGUUAAAACUUUCAGC
Molecule: unclassified non-coding RNA, 240 nt
Filed under: soil metagenome
Description: partial contains 5.8S ribosomal RNA, internal transcribed spacer 2, and large subunit ribosomal RNA
Source: RNAcentral